UAACUAAUAGUUUAAAAAAAACUCUACCUCUUGAAUGUAGUGAUGGCUCUAAAGGCUUUAGUUAU
Molecule: transfer RNA, 65 nt
Filed under: Styela plicata
Lineage: Eukaryota; Metazoa; Chordata; Ascidiacea; Stolidobranchia; Styelidae
Description: transfer RNA-Gln
Source: RNAcentral